This 461-nucleotide ribosomal RNA is filed under the name uncultured organism. RNAcentral's name for it is "partial 16S ribosomal RNA". It matches the Rfam family "Bacterial small subunit ribosomal RNA", at positions 329 to 798 of the family's 1533-position model. The record is from RNAcentral.
ACGUACACUCCUGCGGGAGGCAGCAGUGGGGAAUAUUGCACAAUGGGCGCAAGCCUGAUGCAGCGACGCCGCGUGGGGGAUGAAGGCCUUCGGGUUGUAAACUCCUUUCGCUAGGGACGAAGCUUUUUUGUGACGGUACCUAGAUAAGAAGCACCGGCUAACUACGUGCCAGCAGCCGCGGUAAUACGUAGGGUGCGAGCGUUGUCCGGAAUUACUGGGCGUAAAGGGCUCGUAGGUGGUUUGUCGCGUCGUCUGUGAAAUUCUGGGGCUUAACUCCGGGCGUGCAGGCGAUACGGGCAUAACUUGAGUGCUGUAGGGGUAACUGGAAUUCCUGGUGUAGCGGUGAAAUGCGCAGAUAUCAGGAGGAACACCGAUGGCGAAGGCAGGUUACUGGGCAGUUACUGACGCUGAGGAGCGAAAGCAUGGGUAGCGAACAGGAUUAGAUACCCCGGUAGUCCCAU